This 438-nucleotide long non-coding RNA is filed under the name Pan troglodytes (chimpanzee). Its description in RNAcentral is "lincRNA". The record is from RNAcentral. Lineage: Eukaryota; Metazoa; Chordata; Mammalia; Primates; Hominidae.
AAAUGCCCAAGGCCUAUUUAUUUUUUGGGGUGGUAUGUGUCUGAGUAUUCAUAUUUUUAUUAUUUUGACUUGGCAUAAAACAGCUUAUUUCAAGAACUCAUUUUCCUUCUUCAAACAUUAUCAAACUAUUCACUAAGGUUCCAACCAGCUAAUUAAAAUCCUAACACUCAAAUCAUAAAAUAAAAUUCUUAAAUGUGGCCAGGUGCAAUGGCUAAUGCCUGUAAUCCCAGAACUUCGGGAGGCCGAGAUUACGGGCAUGAGCCACCACAACCAGUGGCCCCUGAAUUUUUGACUGACCCAUUCUAAGCCUAUAUACAAUCCCAUUUAUUUAUUUUAUUUUAUUUUUUUCGGGGGGACGAAGUCUAGCUCUUCUACCCAGGCUGGAUUACAAUGGCGUGAUCUUGGCUCAUUGCAACCUCCACCUCCCGGGUUCAAGCG